GUGGGUAUAGCUCAGUGGUAGAGUGUGUGCUGAGCACGCAUGAGCUCCUGGGUUCAAUCCCCAGUACUUCCU
Molecule: transfer RNA, 72 nt
Filed under: Camelus bactrianus (Bactrian camel)
Lineage: Eukaryota; Metazoa; Chordata; Mammalia; Artiodactyla; Camelidae
Also listed under: 2 other names
Rfam family: tRNA
About the family: Transfer RNA (tRNA) molecules are approximately 80 nucleotides in length. Their secondary structure includes four short double-helical elements and three loops (D, anti-codon, and T loops).
Source: Rfam by way of RNAcentral